Molecule: ribosomal RNA, 253 nt
Filed under: uncultured bacterium
Lineage: Bacteria
Description: partial 16S ribosomal RNA
Rfam family: Bacterial small subunit ribosomal RNA
Source: RNAcentral
UACGUAGGGUGCGAGCGUUGCCCGGAUUUAUUGGGCGUAAAGGGCGCGUAGGCGGUGAGAUGCGUCCGUUGUGAAAUCGCCCGGCUCAACUGGGCGGGGUCAGCGGAUACGGUCUCACUUGAGCAAGCUAGGGGGCAAUGGAAUUCCCGGUGUAGUGGUGGAAUGCGUAGAUAUCGUAAGGAAGACCAGUGGCGAAGGCGGGUCUCUGGACAGUUCCUGACGCUGAGGCGCGAAGGCCAGGGGAGCAAACGGG